GACAGUUUUGUUUCUGAGUUUAGUUGGUAAUGUGGCAGUGUGGAGCUAGGGAGGGGUGAACCGAUGGUUGGUUUAGAUGUGUAUAUACAUACAUGCAUAUAUACUGUAUAUAUGCAUAAAACCAUAUUACAGUAGCCUUCCUGCUGCGGUGAAAGGGGAGAUAUUCACAGGGACACAUUGAUGCGGGUUCAUCGGGGAGGAAAGAGGAGCAUGGACCCGUAAAGAUGUUGGAAUUAAUCGCCAGAGAAGAUUCUUUCCUUUAAGAUAUUUAUUUAAUUUAUUUUUCUAUAUUUUUGUACUUUAUAUUUUGUACCUACGUUUCGGCCGGGGUGCUGAUAUUCAGGGACUGUGAGGAUGGAUCAGGCGAAUAUCUUGAGGAAGUUCAUUCAGGGGGUUCACGCCAUGCGAUCAGGGGAGCAGAGAGGAGAGGAUAACUUCAGCUCGGACUUCAUGAGAUUACGCAGAUUAUCGACCAAAUACAAGACGGAAAAAAUCUAUCCCACUAAUGUUGGCGAGAGAGAAGAAAAUGUGAAAAAGAACAGAUAUAAAGACAUACUGCCAUUUGACCACAGUCGAGUGAAAGUGACAUUAAAAACAUCCAAUCAGGACACGGAUUACAUCAACGCAAACUUCAUUAAGGGAGUGGAUGGGAGUGAGGCCUACAUUGCCACACAGGGCCCGUUGCCCAACACUGUCCUCGACUUCUGGAGAAUGAUCUGGGAGUACAAUGUCGCAGUCAUUGUUAUGGCAUGUCGAGAGUUUGAGAUGGGCAGGAAAAAAUGUGAGCGGUACUAUCCCCAGUUUGGAGAUGAGCCCAUGUCCUUUGGCCCUUUCAGGAUCUCCUGUGAAUCAGAACAAGCUCGAACUGACUAUUACAUUCGUAGCCUAACAGUUGAGUUUGACAAUGAGACUCGUAGAAUAACCCAAUUCCAUUACAUCAACUGGCCAGACCAUGAUGUUCCCUCAUCAUUUGACUCGAUAUUGGACAUGAUUGCACUGAUGAGGGAGUACCAGGAGCAUGACGAGGUUCCUGUCUGUGUACACUGCAGUGCUGGAUGUGGGAGAACAGGUGCCAUUUGUGCCAUUGACUAUACAUGGAACCUGCUGAAAACUGGGAGAAUUCCUGAGGAUUUUAAUGUCUUUCAAUUGAUUCAGGAGAUGCGGACGCAGAGGCACUCAGCAGUUCAGACAAAGGAGCAGUAUGAGUUAGUCCAUAGAGCUAUCGCCCAACUUUUCGAGAAGCAGCUGUUGCUGUUGGAGAGUCCUACGAAUUCAGAGCUAACAGAUGGCAUGGAUGAAGGCAGUCCGGAAAAACCCAGCCAGAAUUCAGAUGAGGACCAAUGGGACACACCUCCACCCAAACCACCACGCAUUCGGAGUUCUCAGGUUGAGGGUGAAGUCCAAGAGGAAAUCCUGCAGGCCCCUGAGCCUCGGCCAGUGCCACCCAUCCUCACUCCAUCACCACCUUCAGCAUUCCCCACGGUGAGUGAUGUGCGCCAGGAGAACGAUCGCUACCACCCCAAACCCGUGCUGCACUUGCUGGCUUCUGAACACGAACCUGACCUCAAUGAGAACUACAGUGGAGGCCCCCAGGGAGUGCCCACCAUGCCUGCCUCUGUGCCUGCCCCUUCCCCUCCGGAGUCCAAUAAACACACCCCUCUGAGUGUGGAGAUCAAGAAAGUGCCCUUGCAGGAGGGACCACGUAGUUUCGAGAGCAGUAGUGCACUGCAACGAACGCAUGCUUUCAAAGUGCGCACCAGUAACAGCUCUCUGUCACAGGAUUCGGAAAACGUGCCCCGCCCUGACCACUUGCCUCUGCGCGCCAACAAAGGCCAGGUGGUCUGGACACGCUCUACAAACCCCACGCCUGCCUCCAGCCUGACCUCUGGCCCCACUCUCGAGGGUGCGGAUGCUCCCCUCAGGACCGCUCUGAGCUUCACCAACCCACUGCACUCGGACAACUCGGACCCAGAGCCUGAGGAGGGAGAGGACUCCCUGCACGUUUCCCAUCACACUGAUUCCCAAUCUAGUGUGUCCACAGCGACCGGCAAAGUUUCAGCAGCACCCCAUGAUGACAACGUCCCCAGGAAGGUUACCUCAAUGUCCAUAGUUGGUGUUUGCUCAAAGGCAGAUGCAGAGACAGAUGUCAGAAUUCAAAGAGAGCUGAUUUGGAGUUUGGAGAGAUGAUUGCGGGCUGAUGGUGGAUCGGAUUGACUGCAUGUGCUGUGGCUGUGGAUUUAUGGCUUGAUGAAAUGAGAGGAAGUGGGUGUUCAUCCUCUUGUGAUUAUAACUCUGCUUUUAUUCAAGCCAGCUUGUCAAGUAGCUAACCUGUUUCCUAGCUGACAUACGGAGUCUUUGUGCUCUGUAAUAAAUGGGAUAUUAACCCCUUUUUUUUUAAUUAUGAUCUUUAUUUUUAAUUUCACAGUUUGUAUCUCUGAGGAAACAUUGCCCGAUUGGGUUAUAUAUUUUUAAAAAACAAAAAAUUAAUGUUGUUUGGCAUUGCUUGUUAAAAUUUUAGAAACUGUUAGAAAUUUUAGAAACAUUUUAGAAACAUUUUAAAAACACUGUUGUGGUCAAAUCACAUUUUUCAAACUUUUUAAAUAAAAAAAAAAGAGAUUUGACCACAACACUGCUUUUGUUUGAAACUUAACCAUUCAUGUGGAAACACAGAUUCGAACCUUUCUGAAUGCCAGUAUCUUAUAAGCAGUGAAAGUUAAAGGGACGCUCCGGUCAAAAUAAAACAUUUACCCCUCAGUUCAGCUGCUGUAAACAUGCCUACUCGCGUCUAACGGCGACGGCUCAGUAGCGACAUUUGAAUACUGCGAAAAACUCUGAUUACUCCAAAUAACUGAAAUUAUCGAGUAGCUGCUAUAAUGUUAGCUAGCAAUGUUGCAUGAUUCUCUACCUUUGUGUUAGUGACAUUACUAGCCAUCUUACUAGUACUACAUGGGUGAGGACCAGCAUUUGCUAGCAGACAUUAAUUAGAUGUCUUAGCUCAGGUCGGCUCCUUUUGUCGUGUUGACCGGGUGUUGAACUCUCCUCUGGUCUGUGUUUCGUACUAAAUCCAGACAGAAUCACUGUUUUCUUCAGCGUCGUCUUCUGCUUUGGUGGAAGACGCAGUAACUCUAUGGAGCUUGGAAGCCGAAAGCAGUAUUUGAAUAUAAAGUAAAUUAGAGAGUAAAAAAGAGAUAUAUAAAUUAAAUGUAUUGAUUUUUGUACAGUACAGGACUCACAAAAAUCUAUAUCCCCAUUUGUGAUUAUUUUUAUUUAUUUAUUUAUUUCUAUUCAGGCAAUGUGUUUCCAGGGAUACAGACAUUUCAUGUCAGAUUAUCCGAACUCUGAACAUGGAAUUCAUUUUUAGAAUCAAAUGCUGCAGCAUUUGAAACAGCGUGUAUGUGCCGCUGGGCUUUGGCUCAGGCCAGUUUUGGUCAGUGGCUGGGCUGCGUGUGGUUCUGCGGGCUCCUUUUCCUAUCGCAAAGCACUCUAACGUGUGUAUGAGUGUGUAUGAGCUAUCGGUAACCGUGAUCUUGUGUGCUCCAGACAGUGACAAGAGUGAAGACUCGCCUCCCCCUCUUCCUGAAAGAACCCUUGAGUCCUUCUUUUUGGCCACAGAUCCAGUGGAUGUGCAGGUGGAGUUGAAUGAAUGUACAGGAGCAUUAGGAGAUGCCUCCCUCCAG
Molecule: RNA transcript, 3677 nt
Organism: Pangasianodon hypophthalmus (striped catfish)
Lineage: Eukaryota; Metazoa; Chordata; Actinopteri; Siluriformes; Pangasiidae
Gene: ptpn12
Gene name: protein tyrosine phosphatase non-receptor type 12
Exons: 15
Source: RefSeq, a predicted model, not a curated record